GGCAGAGCAUCGACUUGGCUCACGCUCGGUCCGUCUCCUCUCUGUCGAGUUUUGAGCUUCCAGAGAUCGAUGGUUCUGCUGUGGACACCUGCAGGAUUUUCUUCGGCGCUGAACCCGACACCACCACCACGACCACGACCACACCCACCACCACCACGACUAAAUCAACCACACCCACCACCAAGAAGCAGCUUGUGGCCACAACCAAAAAGCCAGCCGUCCAAUCACCACCAAGGAAACCAGAAACACCAAUCAGGCCACAGCCAGCUCCGGCAGGACCAAUCACUGACAGCCUCCUCUACUACCUCCUGGCCAAUGGCAGAG
Cottoperca gobio is the source of this 324-nucleotide long non-coding RNA. RefSeq lists it as uncharacterized. NCBI's taxonomy places the organism in Eukaryota, Metazoa, Chordata, Actinopteri, Perciformes, Bovichtidae. The record is from RefSeq and is a predicted model, not a curated record. The transcript is spliced from 3 exons.